RNAcentral lists this transfer RNA (73 nucleotides) under Planctomycetota bacterium. RNAcentral's name for it is "Planctomycetes bacterium tRNA-Lys". It matches the Rfam family "tRNA". From Rfam's summary of the family: Transfer RNA (tRNA) molecules are approximately 80 nucleotides in length. Their secondary structure includes four short double-helical elements and three loops (D, anti-codon, and T loops). The record is from RNAcentral. Lineage: Bacteria; Pseudomonadati; Planctomycetota.
GGGGACGUAGCUCAGUCGGUAGAGCAGGAGAUUUUUAAUCUUCUGGUCGUGGGUUCGAGUCCCGCCGUCCUCA